AUUCGCCCUUCACUCUACUGUAAUCUCUGUGAUUUUAUUUCAGCUCAGAAAAAGGCUGUGCUACCAGAGAGGAGUGAGUGACUCAGCAAAAGGGCUCUAAAGCCUCCUCCCAUCACACGCCGGACCUCGGGCCUUCCUACUUUGAAGAUGUCUGAACACAGAAUGAGGAACCAACCGGAGCCCACCUUCUCCAAGUCUCCGCACCUUCCCACCAGUCUGUCCCUUGCAACAGCCUCAACUAAAUUAUCAAGGAAAUUCUGCUGCGGGAAACGACCAAACAAAAACCUGUUGUGGAGGUUCCAGGGCAAUAAAGGCCUAAAGACAGCCAGAGGAGACUGGAAGGAGGAAUUUCCAAGUGUCAGCACAACUUCGAAAAGAAAUGUUCUUUGACUGAAGCUACCUGAGGAACAGCAAUGAAAAUGAGAUCACCUACACUUGCACGCUUGCAAUGAGAUUACCUCCAGCAAGAGUAGUACAAGGUCACAAAAUGGAGGGUCACCAGCUAGAAAUACAUAUAUAUGAUGGUUUCCAGUCCAGGACCAUGAAGACAUUGCUAACUUCAAUGAGAUGAGCCGAACAUCUCAGUAACACAGAGCCCUCUCAAUGGAGUCAUAACCGCUCUUUAGUCCACACAAGUUCAUCAUCCACAAAAGACGCUAUUAUCUCCUGUCUGGUUGGAUCAUUUCCUGCUCAAGGAGACUCUCCAAGUUGAAGAACACCUUGAGGACAACCGGGUACUAUGUUUGGUUUUCGGUAAGCAUCGUUUCCUGUUUAUUACAAUUUAUAUAAAAUGAGGAAUGCCUUAAAACAGGCAACAUCUUGCACAGAAAGCUGGCUACAUAUUUGUUUCCACUCUAAACUGCAGACUCAGAAAACCUUGGGCAAAGACCAAAAAUUUUGUUUCUGAGGAUCCUUCAUGAUUGGUGCAAAUUCAGCCAAGUUUGGAGGUAGAGGCACGCAGUUCAGUACACAUUCAAGGUCAACUUGGCUGUUCAGUGAGUUCCAGACCAACCAGGGAUCAAGACCUUGUCUCAAAAACAAACAAGUAAACAACAAAAGAAAAAGCAUAAAAAAGGAAGGGAGGAAGAAAGGAGGGGGGAGUGAAAGGGAAGGCAUUUUUCUUGAGUCUUGAGAAGGACUGCGUCUGUACCAAUUUGCUUUUAGCCCAUGAAACCCUCCAUUCACACUCUGACCUCCACUGUGCCAUGGCUUUAAGCUUGUGCUGCUGGGAAAUGCCAAGUUUGUGAUAAUUACAGUACAAUGUCAUUCUUUAUUCUGCUCCCAGCUGGCACAGAAUGUCCCUUGGAUUGAUUUCUAGACACUCUAUUCUUUUCAUUGUUUUCUAAGUGGUAUUUUUUU
Molecule: non-coding RNA, 1359 nt
Organism: Myodes glareolus (Bank vole)
Lineage: Eukaryota; Metazoa; Chordata; Mammalia; Rodentia; Cricetidae
Source: RefSeq, a predicted model, not a curated record